CGAGUCUUGGCAACGAAUAUCUUGUCUCCGCAUCGAUGAAGAACGUAGCGAAAUGCGAUACCUGGUGUGAAUUGCAGAAUCCCGUGAACCAUCGACUCUUUGAGCCAAGUUGCGCCUGAGGCCACUCGGUCGAGGGCACGCCUAUAU
This 147-nucleotide ribosomal RNA is filed under the name Cinnamomum osmophloeum. RNAcentral describes it as "5.8S ribosomal RNA". It matches the Rfam family "5.8S ribosomal RNA". From Rfam's summary of the family: 5.8S ribosomal RNA (5.8S rRNA) is a component of the large subunit of the eukaryotic ribosome. Lineage: Eukaryota; Viridiplantae; Streptophyta; Magnoliopsida; Laurales; Lauraceae. The record is from RNAcentral.